This 135-nucleotide microRNA precursor is filed under the name Prunus dulcis (almond). RNAcentral's name for it is "sRNA ncRNA". Lineage: Eukaryota; Viridiplantae; Streptophyta; Magnoliopsida; Rosales; Rosaceae. The record is from RNAcentral.
AGAGAGAGGAUGAAAGGGGAGGAUGGGGGGAGGUGUAAUAAAAGUGAAAACAAUGUCAAAUAUAUUUUAAUUUUUAGUUUUUGUUUUACUUUUGUUACUCCCCUCUCCCAUCCUCCCCUCUCAUCUUCCUUCUAA